RNAcentral lists this small nuclear RNA (117 nucleotides) under Crocodylus porosus (Australian saltwater crocodile). RNAcentral describes it as "U2 spliceosomal RNA (ENSCPRG00005009689.1)". It matches the Rfam family "U2 spliceosomal RNA", at positions 67 to 185 of the family's 192-position model. Rfam says of the family: U2 is a small nuclear RNA (snRNA) component of the spliceosome (involved in pre-mRNA splicing). Complementary binding between U2 snRNA (in an area lying towards the 5' end but 3' to hairpin I) and the branchpoint sequence (BPS) of the intron results the bulging out of an unpaired adenosine, on the BPS, which initiates a nucleophilic attack at the intronic 5' splice site, thus starting the first of two transesterification reactions that mediate splicing. The record is from RNAcentral. Lineage: Eukaryota; Metazoa; Chordata; Crocodylia; Crocodylidae.
UGUCCUCCAUCGGAGGUCUAUAUUGAGCAGAUUCUUUUUGGUUGGGUGGUGGAACCGGAGCUUGCUCCAUUCACUCCAUGCAUUGACCUGGUAUUGCAGUGCUUCCAGGACCGGUGC